GGUGGUUCUCGGGUAAUGCAUCCCAGAAUUGGGCUCCCUCCUCUCUGGGUCCAGGUACGUCACCCAAGAACCACC
Myotis davidii is the source of this 75-nucleotide non-coding RNA. The record is from Rfam. NCBI's taxonomy places the organism in Eukaryota, Metazoa, Chordata, Mammalia, Chiroptera, Vespertilionidae.